Molecule: long non-coding RNA, 305 nt
Filed under: Homo sapiens (human)
Lineage: Eukaryota; Metazoa; Chordata; Mammalia; Primates; Hominidae
Description: HSALNT0337588
Source: RNAcentral
CAUCCUGUAUGAAAUUCGGGUCCAAAUUUCCUUGGUACUAAUAUCCCUGGAAGCAUCCCUCUGCCAAUAAUAACAUAGAUGUCGGUGGAAAUGAGAGCACUUUGAAGAUACAUCCAUGAUGCUGGCUACCCGUAAAGAAAAUAAACUGAGUGUCAAUGGAACAGACAGAGAAUCAGAGAACAAAAGAAAGUCAAGAGAUUUACCCAAGAGAGAAUGGUAGCAGAAACAGACUCGGGGGCUUUAUGGAGAGAGGAACAUAUUAACUCCUGACCUACAAGAAAGUUGGGCAGGACUUCCCUGACAGA